UGUUGGAUGAAUUGUUUGGAGUUUUGAAGGUGAUUAGAGCACAAAAGGAUCUUUCGAGGAGUCUUGAACCAAACGUGUGAAAGACAAGCAUGGAUGAAGGUCUUAAAGAUAUCUUUUGAAAUUUGUCUUUUGAGAAGACAUGGUAAAUUGAGUUAGCUUUACAAUUGAGGUGGUUUCAAGUCGUUUGGAGCUGUGUUGAGGGAUUUAUGAUCAAAAUACUACCACAUAUCAGUAUGACAUUCCUAGCGGCCACCCUAGCAACGUCAACAAUAGCCUUCGAAUUUUAAGCCUUUAG
RNAcentral lists this long non-coding RNA (295 nucleotides) under Brassica napus (rape). RNAcentral describes it as "long non-coding RNA (BNAP_LNC014555)". The record is from RNAcentral. Lineage: Eukaryota; Viridiplantae; Streptophyta; Magnoliopsida; Brassicales; Brassicaceae.